CUCCUGACCUCAGGUGAUCUACCUGCCUCAGCCUCCCAAAGUGCUGGGAUUACAGGCGUGAGCCACUGUGCCUGGCCAGAUGUUGUUAUUUAAUGUGUUAAAGAAAGAACAUGGCCGGGCACGGUGGCUCAUGCCUGUAAUCCCAGCACUUUGGGAGGCUGAGGCAGCGAAUCAAGAGGUCAAGAAAUCAAGACCAGCCUGGCCAACAUGGUGAAACCCCGUCUCUACUUAAAAUACAAAAAUUAGCUGGGCGUGGUGGCACACGCCUGUAGUCCCAGCUAGUUGGGAGGCUGAGGCAGGAGAAUCGCUUGAACCUGGGAGGCGAAGGUUGCAAUGAGCCUCAAUCGCACCACUGCACUCCAGCCUGGCAACAGAGUAAGACUCCAUCUCAAAAAUAAAUAAAUAAAAAUAAAAAGGAGUGUCCUAAAGGAGCUGAUGUGGUCUGGCCCUGAUCCUUCUCCCAGCUGACAUCCAGCCCACAAGGAGAAGCUGGAGGGAGAGGCCAGAAGAGCAAUGAGAAUGAGGUUUCUGUCGCAGACACUGGGACCCACACUUGCAUUCCGCCUGGCUUCUGUCUUGUUUAUUAAAUUAUGACAUCUGCAGCAGCUUUGAGCACAGAGUCCCAGCACAGAAAACAGGUCCCCUCCGUUCAGAAGCCCUUUCUCAGAACAACACUCAGAAGAGAGCUCAGCUCUCCCUCUGUCUUCUUUAUUUUUUAAUUAAUUUCAUUUUUAUUUUUUAUCUAAAGGAUUACAUGAUCAUCAUCUCCCUCUGUCUUCUAUCUGGGCAGCACGAGAGUGGGUCCCACUCUACAGGGCACCCUCUGCUGAAAAUCAAAACUUGCUCACCCCAAAUGCCCUUCAAGGCUGAACUAAGACAAACUCUCCCCCUGUGAAUCUGGAACGAGACAAGCGGAGGAAAAAAAAUUUAUUUUUAUAAAGAUCCUCAAAUUUGUCAUAGAAAGCAACCCAUCUGAAGUCACAAAUUGUGGUGACGUGGGCUUCGUUUUGAGAGGUUGAGUACAGCAUGGUGUUCUGGUUUAGGAGAGAGCCACGUUCAAAGUCUGAUUCUUAUACACCCCAAAUGCACUCAUGGAGAGGUAAAAGUGAACAAUGUGGAAGGAAACACUGUCACUAGAAUCCCUUCUGCAGCUUCAGUGUGGAAGGCUGCAGCGGCGAGCAUCAAACAAGGCAGCUUCUUGGCGUCUGGGCCUGUGAGUCACCGCGCUCACAUGGGUUCACUUAGCAUCUCUAAUUUGGGAGCAGAGCAGCAGAAGAGGCCCAAAUUAACUUGAGUUUUGUCCUUCCCCUUUUACUUGGAGUUCUGUGGGCCUGAAUGCUUGGUGUCAUCUACUGUAAGGCUCAGGACACCUGGGGCCAUCGUCUUCACACUGAUCACGGCAAGGAUCUGCCCAAGAUAUUUGGGAGAGGAAGCUGUCAGGGGCGUAGGGGGAAAACAGGCUCAAAGAAAGGACUCACUUUUAUAUUGGAUUAUUGAUCAAAGAGAUCGCCGAACACACAGAGGACAAGGAAGAAAUGCCAAAGAGUUGAGAUGACAUUGCAAUGUAAAAGUUUCUUUUAAGAUAAAAAUAGGUGGCUGUGCAUAGAAUAUUCCAGGAAGGCUGUAUGAGAAAGUGCUAACAGUGGGUGCCCCAGCAAAGGAAGGGCCUAGGGAUGCAGCACAGGUGUAGGAAGGAACCUGACUUUUCCCUGUUACACACUUUUUUUUUUUUUUCAGACAAAGUCUCGCUCUGUCACCCAGGCUGGAGUGCAGGGGUGUGGUCUCGGCUCACUGCAACCUCCACCUCCCAGGUUCAAGCGAUCCUCCCAACUCAGCCUCCCAAGUAGCUGGGAUUACAGGCGCACACCACCAUACCUAGCUAAUCUUUGUAUUUUUAGUAGAGACAGGGUUUCACCAUGUUGGCCAGCUGGUGUUGACCUCCUGACCUAAAGUGAUCCGCCUGCCUCGGCCUCCCAAAGUGCUGGGAUUACAGGUGAGAGCCACCAUGCCCGGCCCUUUUCUUUGCAGGGGGCGGGGAAAGGGUCUCACUCUGUCACCCAGACUGGAGUGCAAUGGCAUGAUCACAGCUCACUGCAGCCUCAACCUCCCGGGUUCAGGUGAUCCUCCCACCUCAGCCUCCCCAUGGUGUACAUGCCACCAUACCAGGCUAAUUGUAAUUUUUAUAGAGACAGGGUCUCCCUCUUGCCCAGGCUGGUCUUGAACUCCUGGGCUCCAGCAAUGAGCCUGCUUCAGGCUCCCAAAGUGUUAGGAUUAUAGCGUGAGCCACUAUGCUGGCUAUCAACUUUUUAUAACUUUGAGUUUUGUACUAUGUGUAGUAUUGAUUUAAAAAUAUUUUUUCUGCUCUCGCUCUCGCUCUCGCUCUCCCUCUCCCUCUCUUUCCACGGUCUCCCUCUGAUGCCGAGCGGAAGCUGGACUGUACUGCUGCCAUCUAGGCUCACUGCAACCUCCCUGCCUGAUUCUCCUGCCUCAGCCUGCCGAGUGCCUGCAAUUGCAGGCGCGCGCAGCCACGCCUGACUGGUUUUCGUAUUUUUUUGGUGGAGACGGGGUUUCACUGUGUUGGCCGGGCUGGUUUCCAUCUCCUAACCGCGAGUGAUCCGCCAGCCUCGGCCUCCGGAGGUGCCGGGAUUGCAGACGGUGUCUGGUUCACUCAGUGCUCAAUGGUGCCCAGGCUGGAGUGCAGUGGCGUGAUCUCGGCUCGCUACAACCUCCACCUCCCAGCCGCCUGCCUUGGCCUCCCAAAGUGCCGAGAGUGCAGCCUCUGCCCGGCCGCCACCCCGUCUGGGAAGUGAGGAGCGUCUCUGCCUGGCCGCCCAUCGUCUGGGACGUGAGGAGGCCCUCUGCCUGGCUGCCCAGUCUGGAAAGUGAGGAGCGUCUCUGCCCGGCCGCCAUCCCAUCUAGGAAGUGAGGAGCGCCUCUUCCCGGCCGCCAUCCCAUCUAGGAAGUGAGGAGUGGCUCUGCCCGGCCGCCCAUUAUCUGAGAUGUGCAGAGCGCCUCUGCCCCGCCGCCCCGCCCCGUCUGGGAUGUGAGGAGCGCCUCUGCCCGGCCACAACCCCGUCUGGGAGGUGAGGAGCGUCUCUGCCCAGCCGCCCCGUCUGAGAAGUGAGGAGACCCUCUGCCUGGCAACCGCCCCGUCUGAGAAGUGCUGUGUCCACUCAGGAUUAAAUGGGUCGGUGCAAGAUGUGCUUUGUUAAACAGAUGCUUGAAGGCAGCAUGCUCGUUAAGAGUCAUCACCACUCCCUAAUCUCAAGUACCCAGGGACACAAACACUGCGGAAGGCCGCAGGGUCCUCUGCCUAGGAAAACCAGAGACCUUUGUUCACUUGUUUAUCUGCUGACCUUCCCUCCACUAUUGUCCUAUGACCCUGCUAAAUCCCCCUCUGCGAGAAACACCCAAGAAUGAUCAAUAAAAAAAAA
Molecule: long non-coding RNA, 3434 nt
Filed under: Homo sapiens (human)
Lineage: Eukaryota; Metazoa; Chordata; Mammalia; Primates; Hominidae
Description: HSALNT0400738
Source: RNAcentral